This 1536-nucleotide ribosomal RNA is filed under the name Enterobacter bugandensis. RNAcentral's name for it is "bacterial SSU rRNA". It matches the Rfam family "Bacterial small subunit ribosomal RNA". Lineage: Bacteria; Pseudomonadati; Pseudomonadota; Gammaproteobacteria; Enterobacterales; Enterobacteriaceae. The record is from RNAcentral.
UUGAAGAGUUUGAUCAUGGCUCAGAUUGAACGCUGGCGGCAGGCCUAACACAUGCAAGUCGAACGGUAGCACAGAGAGCUUGCUCUCGGGUGACGAGUGGCGGACGGGUGAGUAAUGUCUGGGAAACUGCCUGAUGGAGGGGGAUAACUACUGGAAACGGUAGCUAAUACCGCAUAACGUCGCAAGACCAAAGAGGGGGACCUUCGGGCCUCUUGCCAUCAGAUGUGCCCAGAUGGGAUUAGCUAGUAGGUGAGGUAACGGCUCACCUAGGCGACGAUCCCUAGCUGGUCUGAGAGGAUGACCAGCCACACUGGAACUGAGACACGGUCCAGACUCCUACGGGAGGCAGCAGUGGGGAAUAUUGCACAAUGGGCGCAAGCCUGAUGCAGCCAUGCCGCGUGUAUGAAGAAGGCCUUCGGGUUGUAAAGUACUUUCAGCGGGGAGGAAGGCGAUAAGGUUAAUAACCUUGUCGAUUGACGUUACCCGCAGAAGAAGCACCGGCUAACUCCGUGCCAGCAGCCGCGGUAAUACGGAGGGUGCAAGCGUUAAUCGGAAUUACUGGGCGUAAAGCGCACGCAGGCGGUCUGUCAAGUCGGAUGUGAAAUCCCCGGGCUCAACCUGGGAACUGCAUUCGAAACUGGCAGGCUAGAGUCUUGUAGAGGGGGGUGGAAUUCCAGGUGUAGCGGUGAAAUGCGUAGAGAUCUGGAGGAAUACCGGUGGCGAAGGCGGCCCCCUGGACAAAGACUGACGCUCAGGUGCGAAAGCGUGGGGAGCAAACAGGAUUAGAUACCCUGGUAGUCCACGCCGUAAACGAUGUCGACUUGGAGGUUGUGCCCUUGAGGCGUGGCUUCCGGAGCUAACGCGUUAAGUCGACCGCCUGGGGAGUACGGCCGCAAGGUUAAAACUCAAAUGAAUUGACGGGGGCCCGCACAAGCGGUGGAGCAUGUGGUUUAAUUCGAUGCAACGCGAAGAACCUUACCUACUCUUGACAUCCAGAGAACUUUCCAGAGAUGGAUUGGUGCCUUCGGGAACUCUGAGACAGGUGCUGCAUGGCUGUCGUCAGCUCGUGUUGUGAAAUGUUGGGUUAAGUCCCGCAACGAGCGCAACCCUUAUCCUUUGUUGCCAGCGGUUAGGCCGGGAACUCAAAGGAGACUGCCAGUGAUAAACUGGAGGAAGGUGGGGAUGACGUCAAGUCAUCAUGGCCCUUACGAGUAGGGCUACACACGUGCUACAAUGGCGCAUACAAAGAGAAGCGACCUCGCGAGAGCAAGCGGACCUCAUAAAGUGCGUCGUAGUCCGGAUUGGAGUCUGCAACUCGACUCCAUGAAGUCGGAAUCGCUAGUAAUCGUGGAUCAGAAUGCCACGGUGAAUACGUUCCCGGGCCUUGUACACACCGCCCGUCACACCAUGGGAGUGGGUUGCAAAAGAAGUAGGUAGCUUAACCUUCGGGAGGGCGCUUACCACUUUGUGAUUCAUGACUGGGGUGAAGUCGUAACAAGGUAACCGUAGGGGAACCUGCGGUUGGAUCACCUCCUU